This 977-nucleotide ribosomal RNA is filed under the name Thaxterogaster australis. RNAcentral describes it as "eukaryotic LSU rRNA". It matches the Rfam family "Eukaryotic large subunit ribosomal RNA", at positions 1 to 964 of the family's 3401-position model. The record is from RNAcentral. Lineage: Eukaryota; Fungi; Basidiomycota; Agaricomycetes; Agaricales; Cortinariaceae.
GUGACCUCAAAUCAGGUAGGACUACCCGCUGAACUUAAGCAUAUCAAUAAGCGGAGGAAAAGAAACUAACAAGGAUUCCCCUAGUAACUGCGAGUGAAGCGGGAAAAGCUCAAAUUUAAAAUCUGGCAGUCUCUGGCUGUCCGAGUUGUAAUCUAGAGAAGUGUUAUCCGCGCUGGACCGUGUACAAGUCUCCUGGAAUGGAGCGUCAUAGAGGGUGAGAAUCCCGUCUUUGACACGGACUGCCAGGGCUUUGUGAUGCGCUCUCAAAGAGUCGAGUUGUUUGGGAAUGCAGCUCAAAAUGGGUGGUAAAUUCCAUCUAAAGCUAAAUAUUGGCGAGAGACCGAUAGCGAACAAGUACCGUGAGGGAAAGAUGAAAAGAACUUUGGAAAGAGAGUUAAACAGUACGUGAAAUUGCUGAAAGGGAAACGCUUGAAGUCAGUCGCGUUGGCCAGGGAUCAACCUUGCUUUUGCUUGGUGCACUUUCUGGUUGACGGGUCAGCAUCAAUUUUGACUAUUGGAAAAAGGUCAAGGGAAUGUGGCAUCUUCGGAUGUGUUAUAGCCCUUAGCUGCAUACAAUGGUUGGGAUUGAGGAACUCAGCACGCCGCAAGGCCGGGUUUUAACCACGUACGUGCUUAGGAUGCUGGCAUAAUGGCUUUAAUCGACCCGUCUUGAAACACGGACCAAGGAGUCUAACAUGCCUGCGAGUGUUUGGGUGGAAAACCCGAGCGCGCAAUGAAAGUGAAAGUUGAGAUCCCUGUCGUGGGGAGCAUCGACGCCCGGACCAGACCUUUUGUGACGGUCCCGCGGUAGAGCAUGUAUGUUGGGACCCGAAAGAUGGUGAACUAUGCCUGAAUAGGGUGAAGCCAGAGGAAACUCUGGUGGAGGCUCGUAGCGAUUCUGACGUGCAAAUCGAUCGUCAAAUUUGGGUAUAGGGGCGAAAGACUAAUCGAACCAUCUAGUAGCUGGUUCCUGCCGA